RNAcentral lists this long non-coding RNA (1996 nucleotides) under Eucalyptus grandis. RNAcentral describes it as "long non-coding RNA (EGRA_LNC001687)". Lineage: Eukaryota; Viridiplantae; Streptophyta; Magnoliopsida; Myrtales; Myrtaceae. The record is from RNAcentral.
CGCUCGCACGCCCGCGCCCGCGCUCGUGCGCGCGCCGCUCGCCGCCGUGCACCGCCAGCCCUUUCCUCCGCCCAGACGUUCUUCCCCCGAGCGGACCCAGCUCUGUUCGCCUCUGCCCAGCCUCCGUCCGGCCACCUCCGGCCACCGCCCAGCCUCGCCGGACCUUCCCGGCGUCCCCCUUGCUCUCCGCCGGCCUCCCCUCGCCGUUUUGGCCGCCGGAUCUGCUCCGACCAGCCAAGGGCAGAGACCCACGAAAUGGGUUUCCAGCACCUUUGAGCUCGCUUUUGGGCCGUUUCCCGGCUCCGAACCCGAGCCGUGCUUUGGGAACAAUCGUUCCUCGCGUCGCCGCCGUCGGAUUGAUCCGAUUUGCGCGCGAUUUGGUGAGUAAUCUCACUAAUCCUGGAUUAGUUGGCUAAUUAUGCUUAAGGUUGGUUUAGUUUUAAUUAAUUAUGUUUAGGUUGUUAGAUUUAAAUAAAUUAGCAAUUAUUAGUCAAUUGUGAUGUGAUUUAGAUAAAUUGAUUGUGCAAUUAGCAAGUAGACGUGGUCUACUAUUUAUUGGAAGUGUCUCGGGAAUUUUCCGAUCCCUAAUCGGGCUUCAAUUUGGCGAUUCGGGCCUAAGUGGGAUUUUUGGCAUUUAAAUAUUAUUUUUCGGAAUUAAAUUAAUUAAUUAUUUAUUUUCCGAAAAUUCAACUGAGAUGGUUCGGAACCGGAAAAUUAUGCUGAUGAUCGUGAUGCAGUCCGUUUAUUUAAUUGAGCUUUAUAUUGUGCUAAAUUGAAUUUAUUGUAUUUAUUUAUUUAAUUUUCGAAAUUAAUUAUUUAAUUAUUUAUUUUCCGGAAAUUCAACUAGGAUGGCCAGUGACCGGAAUUUCGUGCUGAUUGCAAUGGUGUGGUUAAUUUCUGCAAUUGAAUGUUAAAUUAUGCAAAUUGAGUAUUGAUUUGACUUUUGGUAUUUAAUUCCAAAAAUUGUGAAUUUCCAAUAUUUAUUCAGAGAAUCCCAGGUGUCGGGUUUUGACACCGAAAAUGGUUUUUAGUACUGUAUGAAAUAGUGGGAUUUCAAAAAGGAUGAAUAUCAAUUUUUUUGGAUCAAGUUGGCCAUGUACCCACACACGAGUAAUUUCAUGUGAAUUUCUAAUACGAAGAAAAAGGCCAGGCUCACCAUUUUAAUUGAAGCAUUUGAGUGCAAUGCACGGUGCCCUGGGCCAUAUUUGAGUGAUCGUGUGAUAGUUAUGAGAAAUCGUCCCGGGCUGUUGAGCUGGACGUUAUCCCUAUGUGGGAUACCCCUUGGACAACGGGAAGCCGGUCGCAGUUGAUUCUGGACCCUAUGCUCCUUCGGGAAUGCCGUCGACGUAGUGACGAAGCCGUGCUCCAAGGGGGGAGACGAUGCUCCUUCGGGAAUGCCGUCGACGUAAUGACGAAGCCGCGCUCCAUGGGGGGAGGCGAUGCCUGGCAAUGCCAGAAGACCGCCGAACUGAGAGUAGGUCGUGCUAUAUGCCGAGAUCAAAUCUAAGAAUGCAUGAUUAAUUGAGUGUGAGAAUCGAGAGUAUAUUAUAUCAGCCUACGGGCGAUAUCUCAGUUUAGAGUGAGCAGUCCUGGACUAUGGUCGGACUUAUAAAUAGUAUUGAAUGUGCCGACCAAGCAUGGGUCGUGAUGUCAUGUAAUCGACUAGGUCGAUUGAUCAUUGUUUUGAUAUGAUGCUGUGAAUUGAUUGACUGGAUGGAAAUGACCGUGAGUGGUCUUGUUGACAUGUAAUUGACUAGGUUGAUUUGAUCGAUGCUUCGAUCUGUGAAGUGAUUGCUUGAGCGCCUAUUGUGAAUUAUACUGACUUGCAGGUGGGAUCUGAUGCUAAGGUACGUCUUCUGACCUAUGCGUGUUUAGGCAGCCUUUAGUAUAAUGGUUUACUAAUUGGGCUUAGUGGGGUAGAACUCGCUGAGACGUAGUCUCAUCCCAGUUUGGGGAAAACAUUUCAGGAUACCGCUGAGGAGCUGAGGAGGAGGAG